UUUGAGUCUAUGCCUUAUUAAUAUAGUUAUGUAUGAACUAAUCAAUUAUAUUCAAGAUGUCUUAGCAGAUGAAACUAGUGAAGGAGAUAACCAAAAGUUGGGGUUGUGGAGGACUUUCGAGAUUAGGAUUUUGGGCUAAAUAGAAAUAAGAAAUAAUAUAUGCUUUGCAAUUUUUGCUCUCGGAGAACGCAUGGAAAGGUGG
RNAcentral lists this unclassified non-coding RNA (202 nucleotides) under Hevea brasiliensis (rubber tree). Lineage: Eukaryota; Viridiplantae; Streptophyta; Magnoliopsida; Malpighiales; Euphorbiaceae. The record is from RNAcentral.